AGAAACUGGGAAGGUCUUCAGCAAAGAUUUCAUUUGAAUAGAAUUUUUUCAGGAAGUCAGUGGUUUUGAGUCACAUCCUGAAACCUUGGAUGGAUAUACAGAAGAUUAGUUGAUGAAACAAAAUGAUAUCCAAAGGCUAACUUGUUUGAGAGUAGGGUGGGGCUCUGAGGAAGUGGCGCUCCAGUACACAUUGAUGGGGUCCUCUGUCCAGGGAAGUCUGAGUGGAUAUUUCAAGGUAAAACAUCUUGGUGAAAUGGCUCCCAUGUAUUUGGAUAUCAGAUAUCUGUAUACUCUUCUUAUGUGUGUAGCAUUUGACUCAGCUUUGUCUUCAGAUGCUGACAUAAAAGUUAAUCCUCCUCAGAAUUUUGAGAUAGUGGAUCCUGGAUAUUUAGGUUAUCUCUAUUUGCAAUGGCAACCUCCCCUGUCUCUGGAUGACUUUAAGGACUGUGAAAUAGAGUAUAAAUUAAAAUAUCGGAAUAUUGGUAACAAAUACUGGAAGACCAUCAUUACUAAGAAUCUUCAUUACAAAGAUGGAUUUGAUCUUAACAAAGGCAUUGAAGCAAAGAUACAUACAAUUCUGCCAGGACAGUGUGCAAAUGGAUCAGAAAUUCAAAGCUCAUGGUCAGAAACUACAUAUCAGACAUCAACACAAGGAAAUCUGGACACUAAAAUUCAGGAUAUGGAUUGUAUAUAUUACAACUGGCAAUAUUUACUUUGCUCUUGGACAGCUGGAACAGGUGCCAAUAUUGAUACUAAUUACAACUUAUUUUACUGGUAUGAGGGUUUGAACCAGGCAAUCCAAUGCUCCAAUUACAUCAAGGCUAAUGAAAAAAAUAUUGGAUGUAGGUUUCCCUAUUUGGAGUCAUCAGACUAUAAAGAUUUCUACAUCUGUGUUAAUGGAACGUCAGAAUCCAAGCCUAUCAGAUCCAGCUAUUUCAUUUUUCAACUUCAGAAUAUAGUUAAGCCUUUGCCACCAGAUUUCCUCAGUCUUACUGUGAAGAAUUCAGAGGAAAUUAACCUGAAAUGGAAUUUUCCCAGAGGUCCCAUUCCGGGAAGGUGUUUUGUUUAUGAAAUUGAGGUCAUGGAAGAUGAUUCUACUAAAUUGACCACUUCAUUUGAAAAUCAAGUGCAUAUCAUAAAAACAUCAAAUAAAAGCCAGCAACUAUGCUUUUUAGUAAGAAGCAAAGUGAAUAAUUAUUGCUCAGAUGAUGGAAUUUGGAGCGAGUGGAGUGAAGAAAAGUGCUGGAAAGGUGACACGUGGGAUAAAACUUUGGUGUUUUUUGUGAUACCAUUUGCUUUUGUCGCAUCAUUUGUUUUGUUUUUAACCUGUCUGGUUUUGCAUAAACCAAAAGCUUUGCUGAAAGUGAUAUUUCACACAGACAAAGAAGUCCUUUCUCAUCAGGAGGAACUCUAUUGAUAUCAAUUUCCAGUUUUGUGGUCACAUGAUAAACAUGUGUGUUUUUCCCCAGAUGUCAAAUAAAGUGCAUUGUUCCAGAUGCUACAAUGAUGGCAACCUGAAUUCCCUGGGCAGACGACCCUACCAAUGACUUCUGGAACACUGCUUCCCCAGAGCUCUGCCAGACUAGGGAAAGAGAAAGAGAGAGACUGCGAGUG
This is an RNA transcript of Erinaceus europaeus (western European hedgehog), 1614 nucleotides long. It is a transcript of the gene named interleukin 13 receptor subunit alpha 2, with no coding region annotated. The transcript has 13 exons. The record is from RefSeq and is a predicted model, not a curated record. NCBI's taxonomy places the organism in Eukaryota, Metazoa, Chordata, Mammalia, Eulipotyphla, Erinaceidae.